CAGCGGCAGGAUAUCCAAGCCCGCCGGUCCGCAAACGCCCAACGCCAAGUCAGCUCCGGGCCUCCUCACCCCAAACAAGGGACUGUGGAUCCCUAGUCCUUACAUUUUUGACCAGGAGGAAUGUGAUCUGAGGUUGCCUGCUAAUGGGAGGAGGAGACUGACCCGCGAGGUGCCCGCGGCUGAACCCUUUUGAAUUCUUCGAUCUGGUCAUACCAAGGACCCUGGGAUCAAGCCAGAGGAAAUAGUAGCUACCGGGGAAGUUCCUCUUAUGGUGGUGGCAGGAGUGCAAGCAAACCCAGGGUUGUUACUGGGUCUUGGUCAGAGGCACCGCUCAGUGGGACAUCAGUCACUACAAGAUCUUAACUACUUAUGAAUC
This is a long non-coding RNA of Mustela lutreola (European mink), 376 nucleotides long. RefSeq lists it as uncharacterized. The record is from RefSeq and is a predicted model, not a curated record. NCBI's taxonomy places the organism in Eukaryota, Metazoa, Chordata, Mammalia, Carnivora, Mustelidae. The transcript has 4 exons.